UUGGAUGAAGAUGUAAACAAGAAUGAGUUAAUAAUCUGUCAGUUUUUAGGCAAAAACAGGAGAAUAAUGAGGAUUUUUAACAUCACACGCCUUUAAGUUGAUGUUGGAUCUUGCUAAAUGUUGUUUAUAUGGAAAAAACGACGUCCCAUUGGUGUAAAAUCUCGGAGAUGGAGACCUCGUGCAGUCGUUGGGAUGAACUGCUGGAGAGACGCGGCAAGAGUAAGGAAGGUUGAGCAGUCAUCAGUGGAGCUUCUCUUCAUAGAUUCGAAUCAGCCUACUGCUAGUCAUCCCCCCAUCGAUGUGAAAUUUCAACAAAGGUGGCCGAAGAGCUCUCCGAUUCAUGAUUUUCGGUUCUCGGGGGCCAGGAAAAGCCUUGUUCCAACCCAAAUACCUUGGAUAUCGUCUGUAAAGGCGUGAGAGUGUUUCUUAGAGGUUACUGAAGCAAGUGGUUUGAAUUCGAAGACGAAGAAGGCUAAGUAUGAAUGGAUGUCAUUUAAGUCACGACUCUUUUCAAGUAACAGCGUCGGGCAUAAGAUGAGGUUAUCACUAGAUCAAGAAAUUCAAGCGAGGAAAGGAAACAAGACAACUUCCAAAAAUAUUGACUGAUGCACGAAUCAAACAAGAAAGGCUGUUACACAAAGACAAGAUUUAUUCAGAGGUAUAAAACAGGUGCAGCCCAUUGCCACCCCGAAUACCGCCAACAAGAGCCAAGAGACAUUUAAAAAAAUCGACGACUUGAAGCCAAGCGUAAGCAAAUGUUAUUUUGCCAUUUUAUUGAAAUCCAAAAUUUUUUGCCAACGUAAUGCUCAUGGCCAUGGGCUGUUUAAUACUUUUAUUUUUUCCCGCCAAAAAACUUAGAAAAAUACGUGUGCCUAUACUACGCAUGCGCCAUUUUUUUUAUUUAGUCUGUAAGUAAGAUCUGUUCAAAUAUGGCGAAUUUUCCCGCCAAAAGACUUAUAAAAAAUAUGGCGCCCAAAAUACGCAUGCGCCAAUUUUUUUUUCUAAGUUUGUAUUUUUCAAGUAAAGUUCAGGUAAUAAACUUCAUCUUUAUUUCC
This 1055-nucleotide unclassified non-coding RNA is filed under the name Pocillopora damicornis (cauliflower coral). Its description in RNAcentral is "uncharacterized LOC113674847, transcript variant X2". The record is from RNAcentral. Lineage: Eukaryota; Metazoa; Cnidaria; Anthozoa; Scleractinia; Pocilloporidae.